This 2373-nucleotide long non-coding RNA is filed under the name Pan troglodytes (chimpanzee). RNAcentral describes it as "long non-coding RNA NONPTRT008583". The record is from RNAcentral. Lineage: Eukaryota; Metazoa; Chordata; Mammalia; Primates; Hominidae.
GGCGGAGGAAGGGAAGGCCUGGCUGUCCAGCGGAAUCCGCCUGGACGCACGGACCUCGCGGACCCGACCGGAGCAGCUCUUCGGGCCCUGGCGUGGACCCUUCUCCCAGAGGCACAUGCCCAGAACCCAGCAAUGGCCAAUGGGACCCUGAUGGCCGAGGGCCAGAGAAGACUCAAGUGCAAAGAGCUGAGGUGCUUACACGACCACCGCACAGGAACGAAGCGUCGGAGUGUGGAAUCGAGACCUGUUCUACUGCACUCCAGAGCACAUGUUCUUUCUACUCUGCCAUAAUGUUUGGGACAAAAUUGAAUCAUGAGGGUUUUUUUUUUUUCCAUUACAAAUGUAACACAUCGCUCCUGCGUACGGCUGGGAUGAGUCACUGGCACCAGACGUGCCCUCCUGCGAAAAACAGCUAUGAAACUGGACAAAAUACAGGAGGGCCACUGUUUUCAGGCGUUGAACAGUGGAAAGAGGACUGCGAUCCUUGAGAAGAGAUGAUGGUGAAGACAUGUCUCCAAGGAAACUCGUGUGAAGAUGUUCAUAGCAACAUCGUUUAUAAGAGCAAAGAAACCAAGAAUAACCCAAAUGUCCAGCAAGAGGAGAGCGGACAAAGAAACGCCGAGUUCUAUGGAAUACUACUGCACCUUUUAAAAGGAAGAGGACAAGCUCUUUAAAUAAAUCUGGAUAGAUUUCCAAGACAUAUUGUUGAGUUAAAAAAGCAAGCUGCGGAACAAUAUGUACAGUAGGCUCCCAUUUAUGUUAAAAGACACUCAUAUGCUUGCUCAAAACAAUACUACUCAUUUACUAUACAAUACUAUGCAUAUACUCUAUUACCACACACGCACACACAUGCACACACAUGCAUGCACACACACACAUGCAGCAUGCACUCACUUUUAGACAAAGAUCUAGAAGGAUCAGCCAUAAACCAAUAAUAACGGUUACUUCCAGGGAAGAGAUCUAGUUGAGAGAGAGGUGACCAAAGAGAAUUUUAGCUUUGUCUGUAAGCUUUUUUUAAGAAGCAAGGAAAGUCUAUCUGUAUAUUAUUUGUACAAUUUAAAAGUAAUUUUCCUUUUUUUCUUUUCUUUUUUUUUUUGAGAUAGGGUCUUGCUCUGUCACCCAGACUGGAGUGCUGUGGCAUGAUCAUGGCUUCACUGUAGCUUCAAACUCCUGGGCUCAAGUGAUCCUCCCACCUCGGACUCCCCAGUAGCUGGGACUACAGGUGAGCGCCACCAUGCCCAGCUAAUUUUUGCUUUUUUUUUCUGUAGAGAUGGGGUCUUGCCAUGUUGUCCAGGUCGGUCUUGACCUCCUGGGCUCAAGUGAUCCUCCCACCUUGGCCUCCCAAAGUGCUGGGAUUACAGGUGUGAGCCACUGUGUCCGGCCUAAAAAUAAUUUUCUAAAAGGAAGAAAUAUAUAUGAAUAUAUACAUCCAUGCAUACUAUGAAUAUAAACAUAGGGCCUUAUUUUAAAUGUUCUUUGUGGCAGACAGGCCUGAAUUCAAAUCCUGCUACUGCCACCACCUAACUGUGUCACUAGACAAGUCCAUUCUUUCACUUGGAACCUCUGUUUCCUCAUAUGUAAAAUGGGGAUACUCAUUUAUAUUUAAUAGGGUUGUCAUCAAAGUAACUUAUAAUGUUUGUAAAGUUCCAAGAGCAGGCCGGGCAUGGUGGCUCACACCUGUAAUCCCAGCACUUUGGGAGGCUGAGAUGAGUGGAUCACCUGAGGUCAGGAGUUCGAGACCAGCCUGGGCAACAUGGCAAAAUCCUGUCUCUACUAAAAAUAUAAAAAUUAGCCGGGUAUGGUGGCAGGCAACUGUAAUCCCAGCUACUCUGGAGGCUGAGGCAGGAGAAUCACUUGAAACCCGGAGGCAGAGGUUGCAGUGAGCCACUGCAACCUCCAGCCUGGGCUACAGAGUGAGACUCCGUCUCAAAAAAAAAAAAAAAGUUCCAAGAGCAGUGUCUGACAACUAGCGUAUGUUCAACUAAAUACGAAUACCCUUCCCUUCCACUUCCCAGUCCCUGCUACCCCUAACCUUGCUCCUAAGCCAUGAGUCAUGCUGUGGUGACUAUUUUGUAGGUGCCGCCUUAGCACUUACAUUCCCUAGGGUAGGCGGAAUAAUUACUCCCCAAAGAUGUCCUCAUCCCCAGAACCCGUGAAUAUGUUUGAUUACAUAGCAAAGAGGAAGUAAGGCAGCUGGCGGAAUUAAGGUUGCUAAUCAGCUGACGUUAAGAUAGGGAAAGUAGGCCGGGCGCGGUGGCUCACGUGUGUAAUCCCAGCACUUUGGGAGGCUGAGGCGGGCAGAUCACAAGGUCAGGAGAUCAAGACCAGCCUGGCCAACAUGGUGAAACCCUAUCUUUAUUAAAAAUAGAAAAA